Molecule: long non-coding RNA, 473 nt
Organism: Fundulus heteroclitus (mummichog)
Lineage: Eukaryota; Metazoa; Chordata; Actinopteri; Cyprinodontiformes; Fundulidae
Exons: 3
Source: RefSeq, a predicted model, not a curated record
CGGGUCAGAACCAGAGAGAGAACCGGGUCAGAACCAGAGAGAGAACGGGUCAGAACCAGAGAGAGAACGGGUCAGAACAGGUCCAGAGGCUGCACGAACACCGUGGCCCCCAUGCUGCGGAGAACGGGUCAGAACCAGAGAGAGAACCGGGUCAGAACCAGAGAGAGAACCAGGUCAGAACCAGAGAGAGAACCGGGUCAGAACCAGAGAGAGAACGGGUCAGAACAGGUCCAGAGGCUGCACGAACACCGUGGCCCCCAUGCUGCGGAGAACGGGUCAGAACCGGGUCAGAACCAGAGAGAGAACCGGGUCAGAACCAGAGAGAGAACCGGGUCAGAACCAGAGAGAGAACCAGACAGAGAACCAGGUCAGAACAGGUCCAGAGGCUGCACGAACACCGUGGCCCCCAUGCUGCGGAGAACGGGUCAGAACCGGGUCAGAACCAGAGAGAGAACGGGUCAGAACCGGGUCAG